AUUCAUUGCAGCAGCCCUCAGACGGAUAGAGAAACCUCCAUCUGGGACACUCAGUUUCUUGGCAGGGUGAGAAGAUGGUGGCUCUUAGAGCUGUUAAAAGUAUUACUUGUAUAUAACGCAAAAAUACGUGGAGUGGCUGACCUGGAGCGCAGAGGAUUGGGAAGGCUUGGAGUAGGGUGUGAGGCUUUGCAAUUCUGAUAAGCUCCCAGGUGAUGUGGUUCCACUGGUGAUGCUUUGAGUAGCAUAGGGAUAUUUCUCAUCUCAUUCCAUGAUUGGAGUGACUUGAGCAUGUGACGGUGCCAUUAUCUCAAUAUCCCUUUCAGUUACUUACCUUAGGUCCGUAGAGGAAAGGGACUAAACAGGUAUGCAAUAGAUUUCCAGGCUAGGCUAUCCCAGGGCUGCUGGCUGCUUGUAGCAGGUACCAGCUCAAGUUAAUCCUGUUCUGCCUGUACUCAAUCUCUGCACCCCCUUCCCCCAGCAACCUCUAAAAACGUUUCCUUUGGUCUAUAAGGAUCUGAUGUGUGUUGGUGGCUGUAGAUAGGUAAGAAAGGUUUUUCUUGUAAUAUUUGUAGUAUCAAGAUAGGCAGAGUUAUGCUACAGUUACAAAUAUCUAGAAAUUGUAGUUGCUGCAAAGGUUGGUCAUGUUUGUGUUUUGUCUGUGGUUAGGCUUUACUUGACUCCAAGAGUAGCCUCUAAUCGGAACAUUUCGAGUCUCAGGACAGGGAAAAGAGAAGGCAAACAACAAACCAGCUCUUCAAACUUAAUGCUGGGAAGUAAUGUAUAUCAUGAACAUUUCCCAGCCAGAGCAAGUCACGUACAUGGUCAAGUGCGAUGGCCACGAGGAUGGGGGAAGUUUAAUCCUCCCCAGAGCAGGAUAGCAGAUAUAUUUUUGAAUAAUAAUAUAGUCUACCAUGUCCUUACAAUUUUUCUUUAAUUGCCCACAAUUCCUGUGGCUGUUAUAUGUUGAGCACUGUACAACUCAUAUCACUAUUACAACAAGUUCCCCAAAAGAGUCACAUUUCAAAGGUAAACUUUCUUUUAUAGGGGAGAUCGCUUGUCAGGUCCCACGGCCCCUGAAGUGGUAGGAGGAGAUUCAAACCCAGGUCUACUCUUGACCUCCAUAUCUACUGGAAAGAAUUUUCAGGCCCUGGCAGGCUGGAGGGGGCAGAUGCUUCUGGUCUGGUUGGUUUUUUUGGCUGUUCUAUUUGCUGACUGUUAUCCACUGCUUUUAAAACCAUCCCUGAGCCAAAAUAACUUUCCGCUGGAUCUAAACCAGGGCUACACUAAUGAAGAGAUAGCCAUCGAUUUUGUGCUGAGGAUUCUUAAGAUUAAUAUCCUUUCUUUGUUGAAAUAAUCGAAGUAGAGUACACUUGUGUCAUCCCCAUAAUAGCCCUGUGGUGUACAGGGCAGAAAGCUCCAUUCUCAAGUUUGGAAACAAGCUUAAAAAUGAGUUGAAGGUCACUAAAGGUUGGGUUUGAUUUCUAAUCAUUUUUUUUUCUUGAUUACAUAACAUUGAAUCAUGCUUUAGUAGCUCCUCCACCCCCACCCCCACCCCUACCCCUACACACCUUUAAGAUACAUACGUCAUUUUGUGGGGAGAGAACUCUUAAAGGAACUAUAACAGUGUUUAAGCCUUUCCAAAACAAUAGUUAGAAAAGUCUUCUAUUCACAUAAAUUUUCAUCACUCCAAUCAGCACAGUGUUGAAUGCCAUCUUUGCAGUGAAUUCUGGGAAUGCAGGCACAGUCAGCAAAGAAAACAGUAUCCCAUCUCCAGCCUGAACACUUGGGGCACUGUAAAACUGGACAAUUUUAUUUAUCUUUAAAGCCAUAACUAUUGAAAUGUUAAGAUGGACAGGAAAAAAAUGCUAUUGGGGAAUGCCAUUUGGAUAUUUUUAAAUAUUAGGGAGAACUGUCCAAGGGGAAUAUUGCAGAUAUCUAUUAAAGAUUCUGGAGUUCCCGUCGUGGCGCAGCAGAAACGAAUCCCACUGGGAACCAUGAGGUUGCAGGUUCAAUCCUUGGCUUCGGUCAAGUGGGUUAAGGAUCUGGCAUUGCUGUGAGCCAUGGUGUAGGUUGCAGAUGCAGCUCGGAUCCUGCGUUACUGUGGCUGUGGUGUAGGCUGACAGCUACAGCUCCAAUUCGACUGCUAGCCUGGGAACCUCCCCCCCCUGGUGGUGCGUCCCUAAAAGACAAAAUGACAAAAAGACCAAAAAAAAAAAAAAAAAAA
RNAcentral lists this long non-coding RNA (2224 nucleotides) under Sus scrofa (pig). RNAcentral describes it as "lncRNA (ENSSSCG00045002996.1)". Lineage: Eukaryota; Metazoa; Chordata; Mammalia; Artiodactyla; Suidae. The record is from RNAcentral.